RNAcentral lists this ribosomal RNA (492 nucleotides) under uncultured bacterium. RNAcentral describes it as "partial 16S ribosomal RNA". It matches the Rfam family "Bacterial small subunit ribosomal RNA", at positions 29 to 507 of the family's 1533-position model. The record is from RNAcentral.
AGUGAACGCUGGCGGUAGGCCUAACACAUGCAAGUCGAACGGCAGCACAGUAAGAGCUUGCUCUUACGGGUGGCGAGUGGCGGACGGGUGAGGAAUACAUCGGAAUCUACUUUUUCGUGGGGGAUAACGUAGGGAAACUUACGCUAAUACCGCAUACGACCUACGGGUGAAAGCAGGGGAUCUUCGGACCUUGCGCGAUUGAAUGAGUCGAUGUCGGAUUAGCUAGUUGGCGGGGUAAAGGCCCACCAAGGCGACGAUCCGUAGCUGGUCUGAGAGGAUGAUCAGCCACACUGGAACUGAGACACGGUCCAGACUCCUACGGGAGGCAGCAGUGGGGAAUAUUGGACAAUGGGCGCAAGCCUGAUCCAGCCAUACCGCGUGGGUGAAGAAGGCCUUCGGGUUGUAAGGCCCUUUUGUUGGGAAAGAAAAGCAGCAGGUUAAUACCCCGCUGUUCUGACGGUACCCAAAGAAUAAGCACCGGCUAACUUCGUG